This 460-nucleotide ribosomal RNA is filed under the name uncultured bacterium. RNAcentral describes it as "partial 16S ribosomal RNA". It matches the Rfam family "Bacterial small subunit ribosomal RNA", at positions 338 to 795 of the family's 1533-position model. The record is from RNAcentral.
CCUACGGGCGUCUGCAGUGAGGAAUAUUGGUCAAUGGACGAGAGUCUGAACCAGCCAAGUAGCGUGAAUGAUGACUGCCCUAUGGGUUGUAAACUUCUUUUAUAAAGGAAUAAAACGAGGCACGUGUGCCUUUUUGCAGGGACUUUAUGAAUAAGGAUCGGCUAACGCGGUGCCAGCAGCCGCGGUAAGACGGAGGUUCCGAGCGGUAGCCGGAUUUAGUGGGUUGAAAGGGAGCGUAGAUGGGUUGGUAAGUCAGUUGUGAAAGUUUGCGGAUCAACCGUAAAAUUGCAAUUGAUACUGGCAGUCUUGAGUACAGUUGAGGUAGGCGGAAUUCGUGGUGUAGCGGUGAAAUGCUUAGAUAUCACGAAGAACCCCGAUUGCGAAGGCAGCUUACUAAACUGUGACUGACAUUGAUGCUCGAAAGUGUGGGUAUCAAACAGGAUUAGAUACCCGUGUAGUC